UUAUUUUGAUUUUUAAUGUAGUGAGCUGCUUUAGACUGAGGAGUGAACUUCUGUUGGCAGUGAAAUAACAGAAUUUUGAGACCAAAUAAUAUCAACAUGUAGUGAACCAUGGAAGAACAUUCCUUGUGGAUAUUCAGAAAAAAAUGUUUGGUGCUACUUGAGGCAAGAACAUACCUCUCAUGCUGAUCUAACGAUAGACUAAAUCUAAUCACACCAAAGCAGGAAAAAGAUCGGAUGUGGACUUCCGCAUGACUCCCGUCACUACGAGGAGGCUUCGCGGCACAUGAUCACUUUUGAGAGAUGGACGUGCGCUGUCACGGGCUUUUGAAAUAUUUUGCUGGAAUUAUGGAAACAAAAUGCAUGUUAUAUUUCACAUGUAGAAAAAAAGAUAGCACGGGCAUAAUCGAGUAAUAAUUUAAGUCCACUUCACUUACAUUGUAAAUUGUUAACAAAAGGCAAUUUGACAAUGCAUACAUAUAGAGCGAUGAUCCAACUAAAAAUCUAUUACAAAUUAAUAUCUAUUUGAUGCGUUUAAGAAAUUCUCGCACAAUAUUAGCAAUGUUGUCUUUAGUUUCAUUUGCACAAUAUUUGAGCAAGUAUAAUAAAAAUGUCUUCCUCACCGGCCUUCGGGUCCGUCCACUUUCAUGCCAACCACGGUGGCCAACCUUGACCCAGGCUUCGACUUCUUUGCUUGCGCGAUGGCGGACGCCUCGCUUACUCGAAAACACCAUGAUGGACACCAUCCACCCUACCUUGCCUACCGGCAGCACUUUUCUUCCGGCACGGGCUCGCCGACCACCUCUCUCUCAGGAUCCUCUCCACAACUACACGGUGGCCGGAGCCAACCGUCCGCCAUGACUGCUCCACCACCACCCCGAGGCUCGACAUGAGUCAACUUUAAUCGUGUCAAACAUACAUUGUUUGGAUCCUCAUGCACAUUAAGCAACAUUCUUGAUUUUUUCUGCCUAUAAACCACUAUUAUUCUUCGUCUUUGUUCUCCUGCUCCUCUUCACUUACUAUCUCUACCGUCCCUAUCCAAGCCAGCCGCAAUCAUCAAUGUCCCAUCCGGCUCAAAAUCCCCAAACCUUCUACACCCAUACUAUGAAUUUUAAGGGACCUUUUGCCAUUAUUUUAUCCUUCAAAGUCUACAAACUAUAAUAUCAAUGUAGAAGUAAUUAGUGUAAACUCCUUUAUGCCCGCUCAUGGCCACUACGACCACAACUCUGUCGUCUCACCUACAUGAUGUGUGUCCACUCCCACAAUUUCCCCCUUACUCUGGCGAGGCCUCCAUUACUUUUGAAUAUUUUGUUCGGAUUAUUUGCCAUCAAGGAGAAAUUAGCAUAUUGCGCAUGAACAUAUGUGAUAAAAGUUCCUGCGAUUUGACACUACAGAGGUAGAGCAACAUGAAAAUAAAAGAGCAUGCUUCUAAUCUUCAAACUUCUUAGUUUAAAAAAAUGGCGAUAACCUUACAACAUUUUCCAGACUCUUGUCCAUACUGAAAAUGGUUCAUGCAUUAAGGAACACCACACAAAGUAUGGAAUCCAAAAAAACUAACAACAAGCGACAGUGACAUGGAUGGCUACCUUAUUGCUUUGGAAGUGGAUGGCAUGAGCCGUCGCUUAGAUGCACGAAACAGUCCCGACCAUGUACAGCUAGCCAAGAAACGUUGGGUCAAAACAAGGAGUUGGUACCUUGAGCAACGACGCCAUCGCGUUGACAUUUGCCCAACCCAACUGCUCAUGGCCAUCCUCGGCCACCACCUAUCCACCUGGACACACUCCUCUAGACCCAGGCGUUCUGAACGGCAUCCUCCCUGCUUCCCCAGCAUGAUGGCCGACUACCGUAACUUCUCUAGAGUGAAUCCUUCCAAAGGCGCUGCCGACAACAUCAUCCCUGUGGUGAUGCGUCUUCCUUCUUGUGCCUUUUGCUCCAUUGACCUCCUUCCUAUGAAAUUUCGGUAACAAGGUACAUUUCAGUAAUCAGUAAAAAAAUGCAGAUUUUAGUACAAGAGAAAUGAGCGUCUUGACAAAGGUUUAGUAGAAAUCAGAUUUCCGUACAACAAGAUAUUUUAGUACCUACUAAAAAGAAUAGUACAAGGGCAAUCAUCCGAACAAUAUCAUCAUAAGUAUGAACUAAACCUUUAGUCGCAGCAGGUACCUACUAAAUAGGAAGUGGAUGAUAUUCAUAUUACCCAUGUCAUCUCAAUAUCAUCAUAUGUUUAUUGUAGAAAAUCAUAAGCAUCAACACCACUACCUGGAAGACAUAUCUCCUAGCUUCUUUAUGAUUCAGAAUUCAACCCCAUGGAAGCUAAUAUGAAUAUCAUCUCAAGGAUCUAGAUAAAAUACCUGGAACAAAACUCAAUGAAGAACCAUAACAUCGAUCGAAACUAAACAUGAAAAUUUUGAACUCGCUGACUUUAUAUCAGUCUAGUAGUAAUAGUAGUACAAUCGCUGGUAGAAAAUGCAAUUCUCAACGUGCAUAUAGAUAUGCUAUUAUCUUGCUGCUAGAAAAUGUAGCGCUCAAGGUACAUAUAGAUAUGCCAUUGUCUUGCUGUGAAAUAGACUGCUUGGUUUGUUAGCUAGAUUAGGAAACCUAAGCUUUCCAACAAUUCCAAUCUGGAAGCACAAUCAGACCUCAUAGCCUUAAAGAUAAAUGAAAAGCAAUCAAACCAUUGGCGAGAACUUCUAAUUACGGCUCCGAGAGAACUCUAAUCCAUUUGUAAUUUGCCUAGAAAUAAAAUCAAUCAAACUGUAAUUUGCCUAGAAACAUGACCUCAAUGGCAUGCAUACCAUCACCUUUCAUAUCUUUUGUGGCAUUAAAUGAUUGUUGCAUUGUCUACGGAUGAGCCAAAAUUGCUAUGCCCCCAGUUCUACAAAUUAGAUGCACAAUAGAUUCCCCAUUCAGCCUAAUACCGCUGCAAAUGAACAAUAGAAAUCCACAUUAGUAAAUACAUCACGUCCCUGGUUAAGUAGUUAAUUUCAAGCCCAAAAAAUUAACACACUCCUGGCCAACAAUGUGCACGGUUAACCAUGAGCUACCGCAUCCUUGCCAAGUGUCCUCGUCCCACUCUUCCACUUGGCGUGAGGCCUCAACGGGAC
RNAcentral lists this long non-coding RNA (3098 nucleotides) under Triticum aestivum (bread wheat). RNAcentral's name for it is "long non-coding RNA (TAES_LNC016344)". Lineage: Eukaryota; Viridiplantae; Streptophyta; Magnoliopsida; Poales; Poaceae. The record is from RNAcentral.